RNAcentral lists this ribosomal RNA (431 nucleotides) under uncultured bacterium. RNAcentral's name for it is "bacterial SSU rRNA". It matches the Rfam family "Bacterial small subunit ribosomal RNA", at positions 29 to 506 of the family's 1533-position model. The record is from RNAcentral.
ACGAACGCUGGCGGCAUGCCUAACACAUGCAAGUCGAACGAAGGCUUCGGCCUUAGUGGCGCACGGGUGCGUAACGCGUGGGAAUCUACCCUUAGGUUCGGAAUAACAGUUAGAAAUGACUGCUAAUACCGGAUGAUGACGUAAGUCCAAAGAUUUAUCGCCUAAGGAUGAGCCCGCGUAGGAUUAGCUUGUUGGUGAGGUAAAAGCUCACCAAGGCGACGAUCCUUAGCUGGUCUGAGAGGAUGAUCAGCCACACUGGGACUGAGACACGGCCCAGACUCCUACGGGAGGCAGCAGUGGGGAAUAUUGGACAAUGGGCGAAAGCCUGAUCCAGCAAUGCCGCGUGAGUGAUGAAGGCCUUAGGGUUGUAAAGCUCUUUUACCCGGGAUGAUAAUGACAGUACCGGGAGAAUAAGCUCCGGCUAACUCCGU